Pyrus x bretschneideri (Chinese white pear) is the source of this 547-nucleotide long non-coding RNA. RefSeq lists it as uncharacterized. Lineage: Eukaryota; Viridiplantae; Streptophyta; Magnoliopsida; Rosales; Rosaceae. The record is from RefSeq and is a predicted model, not a curated record. The transcript has 3 exons.
UCAAGCUUAUAGGAAGCUUCUUGAGAUCCUAAGGAGGCUUGUAGUAGUUCGUUGGAAGUGUUUGGACGUAAGAACACGGAGAACGACAAGUUCAAAGUUUGGCCGGAGCUUUCGGGGCUUUUUCUGGUGAAUCCACGCCGAGUUAGGGGUCAAGGCAGAAAUUCCGGCAAAACACCCACCUCCGGCGAAACCAGUCCGGCGACGCGAGGAAGAAGACGCGUGCGUGGGCAGCGCGUAGAAGUGGCGCGUGAGGGCGCGUGAGAGACCCAAAUCAAGUUCUGAAAAUUGUCACGUGUUCGUGACGUCGUGUAGAUCACCGUGGUGAAAAUUAUACAGACGAAGAACGUAACCAAUCUAGGCGAGGAGGUUACGAACCAGCUACUUAUCAAUGAGUGGGCAGUUAUUUUUCAGUAUAUAUAUACGUAUACUUGACGUAUUUCCCAGAAAACGUAUUUUAAAAUAAAUACGAUUUAAGUAACUUAUCAUGUAUGCAUCAUAUUUUAGAAUGUGCAUUACUAUAAUUAUGUAUAUUGUUGCAUGGUGCUGA